GGACCCCAGGUCAGGCUUG
This 19-nucleotide ribosomal RNA is filed under the name Adenostyles alpina. RNAcentral describes it as "partial 25S ribosomal RNA". The record is from RNAcentral. Lineage: Eukaryota; Viridiplantae; Streptophyta; Magnoliopsida; Asterales; Asteraceae.